RNAcentral lists this ribosomal RNA (465 nucleotides) under Vreelandella stevensii. RNAcentral describes it as "partial 16S ribosomal RNA". It matches the Rfam family "Bacterial small subunit ribosomal RNA", at positions 338 to 795 of the family's 1533-position model. The record is from RNAcentral. Lineage: Bacteria; Pseudomonadati; Pseudomonadota; Gammaproteobacteria; Oceanospirillales; Halomonadaceae.
CCUACGGGGGGCAGCAGUGGGGAAUAUUGGACAAUGGGGGCAACCCUGAUCCAGCCAUGCCGCGUGUGUGAAGAAGGCCCUUGGGUUGUAAAGCACUUUCAGUGAGGAAGAACGCCUGGUGGUGAAUACCCAUCAGGAAAGACAUCACUCACAGAAGAAGCACCGGCUAACUCCGUGCCAGCAGCCGCGGUAAUACGGAGGGUGCGAGCGUUAAUCGGAAUUACUGGGCGUAAAGCGCGCGUAGGUGGCUUGAUAAGCCGGUUGUGAAAGCCCCGGGCUCAACCUGGGAACGGCAUCCGGAACUGUCAAGCUAGAGUGCAGGAGAGGAAGGUAGAAUUCCCGGUGUAGCGGUGAAAUGCGUAGAGAUCGGGAGGAAUACCAGUGGCGAAGGCGGCCUUCUGGACUGACACUGACACUGAGGUGCGAAAGCGUGGGUAGCAAACAGGAUUAGAUACCCUGGUAGUC